UACGUAGGGGGCUAGCGUUGUCCGGAAUCAUUGGGCGUAAAGAGCGUGUAGGCGGUCCGGUAAGUCCGCUGUGAAAGCCGGGGGCUCAACCCUCGAAUGCCGGUGGAUACUGUCGGGCUAGAGUACGGAAGAGGCGAGUGGAAUUCCUGGUGUAGCGGUGAAAUGCGCCGAUAUCAGGAGGAACACCUAUGGCGAAGGCAGCUCGCUGGGACGUAACUGACGCUGAGACGCGAAAGCGUGGGGAGCAAACAGG
RNAcentral lists this ribosomal RNA (253 nucleotides) under uncultured bacterium. Its description in RNAcentral is "partial 16S ribosomal RNA". It matches the Rfam family "Bacterial small subunit ribosomal RNA", at positions 524 to 776 of the family's 1533-position model. The record is from RNAcentral.